GACGAACGCUGGCGGCGUGCUUAACACAUGCAAGUCGAGCGGAAAGGCCACUUCGGUGGUCCUCGAGCGGCGAACGGGUGAGUAACACGUGAGUAAUCUGCCCCUCACUUUGGGAUAGCCACCGGAAACGGUGAUUAAUACCGGAUAUGACCAUAUGUCGCAUGGCGUGUGGUGGAAAGUUUUUCGGUGAGGGAUGUGCUCGCGGCCUAUCAGCUUGAUGGUGAGGUAAUGGCUCACCAUGGCUUCAACGGGUAGCCGGCCUGAGAGGGUGACCGGUCACACUGGGACUGAGACACGGCCCAGACUCCUACGGGAGGCAGCAGUGGGGAAUAUUGGACAAUGGGCGGAAGCCUGAUCCAGCAACGCCGCGUGAGGGAUGACGGCCUUCGGGUUGUAAACCUCUUUCAGUACCGACGAAGCGCAAGUGACGGUAGGUACAGAAGAAGCACCGGCCAACUACGUG
RNAcentral lists this ribosomal RNA (463 nucleotides) under uncultured bacterium. Its description in RNAcentral is "partial 16S ribosomal RNA". It matches the Rfam family "Bacterial small subunit ribosomal RNA", at positions 28 to 507 of the family's 1533-position model. The record is from RNAcentral.